RNAcentral lists this ribosomal RNA (253 nucleotides) under uncultured bacterium. RNAcentral describes it as "partial 16S ribosomal RNA". It matches the Rfam family "Bacterial small subunit ribosomal RNA", at positions 524 to 776 of the family's 1533-position model. The record is from RNAcentral.
UACAGGGGGGGCAAGCGUUGUUCGGAAUUACUGGGCGUAAAGGGCGCGUAGGCGGCAAGGCAAGUCAGGUGUGAAAGCCCCGAGCUUAACUCGGGAAUUGCAUCUGAAACUGCUGUGCUUGAGUUCUGGAGGGGGUAGUGGAAUUCCCAGUGUAGCGGUGAAAUGCGUAGAUAUUGGGAGGAACACCUGCGGCGAAGGCGGCUACCUGGACAGAAACUGACGCUGAGGCGCGAAAGCUAGGGGAGCGAACGGG